This 443-nucleotide ribosomal RNA is filed under the name uncultured bacterium. Its description in RNAcentral is "partial 16S ribosomal RNA". It matches the Rfam family "Bacterial small subunit ribosomal RNA", at positions 338 to 795 of the family's 1533-position model. The record is from RNAcentral.
CCUACGGGAGGCAGCAGUGGGGAAUAUUGGACAAUGGGGGGAACUCUGAUCCAGCGACGCCGCGUGAGUGAAGAAGUAUUUCGGUAUGUAAAGCUCUAUCAGCAGGGAAGAAAGAAAUGACGGUACCCGACGAAGAAGCCCCGGCUAACUACGUGCCAGCAGCCGCGGUAAUACGUAGGGGGCAAGCGUUAUACGGAUUUACUGGGGGUAAAGGGAGCGUAGACGGGGAUGCAAGUCUGAAGUGAAAGGCGAGGGCCCAACCCCCGGACUGCUUUUGAAACUGUAUUGCUGGAGUGCAGGAGAGGUAAGUGGAAUUCCUAGUGUAGCGGUGGAAUGCGUAGAUAUUAGGAGGAACACCAGUGGCGAAGGCGGCUUACUGGACUGUAACUGACGUUGAGGCUCGAAAGCGUGGGGAGCAAACAGGAUUAGAUACCCCUGUAGUC